UGGGGAAUAUUGCACAAUGGGCGCAAGCCUGAUGCAGCCAUGCCGCGUGUAUGAAGAAGGCCUUCGGGUUGUAAAGUACUUUCAGCGGGGAGGAAGGGAGUAAAGUUAAUACCUUUGCUCAUUGACGUUACCCGCAGAAGAAGCACCGGCUAACUCCGUGCCAGCAGCCGCGGUAAUACGGAGGGUGCAAGCGUUAAUCGGAAUUACUGGGCGUAAAGCGCACGCAGGCGGUUUGUUAAGUCAGAUGUGAAAUCCCCGGGCUCAACCUGGGAACUGCAUCUGAUACUGGCAAGCUUGAGUCUCGUAGAGGGGGGUAGAAUUCCAGGUGUAGCGGUGAAAUGCGUAGAGAUCUGGAGGAAUACCGGUGGCGAAGGCGGCCCCCUGGACGAGGACUGACGCUCAGGUGCGAAAGCGUGGGGAGCAAACAGG
Molecule: ribosomal RNA, 429 nt
Filed under: Chloroflexota bacterium
Lineage: Bacteria; Bacillati; Chloroflexota
Description: Chloroflexi bacterium partial 16S ribosomal RNA
Rfam family: Bacterial small subunit ribosomal RNA
Source: RNAcentral